GACGAAGGGGGCUAGCGUUGUUCGGAAUUAUUGGGCGUAAAGCGCGUGUAGGCGGCUUGGCAAGUCGGGUGUGAAAGCCCUCAGCUCAACUGAGGAAGUGCGCCCGAAACUGCUGAGCUUGAGUACCGGAGAGGAUGGUGGAAUUCCCGAAGUAGAGGUGAAAUUCGUAGAUAUCGGGAGGAACACCGGUGGCGAAGGCGACCAUCUGGACGGAUACUGACGCUGAGACGCGAAAGCGUGGGUAGCAAACAGG
RNAcentral lists this ribosomal RNA (253 nucleotides) under uncultured bacterium. Its description in RNAcentral is "partial 16S ribosomal RNA". It matches the Rfam family "Bacterial small subunit ribosomal RNA", at positions 524 to 776 of the family's 1533-position model. The record is from RNAcentral.